This 1798-nucleotide unclassified non-coding RNA is filed under the name Dimorphilus gyrociliatus. Its description in RNAcentral is "dgyrCDS3346". The record is from RNAcentral. Lineage: Eukaryota; Metazoa; Annelida; Polychaeta; Dinophilidae.
AAUAUAUGAACAGUCGAGAGGGGGAGCUAUGGUUAGCUGUUUUUUUGCCUUGGACAUCAGUCAUUUGCUUAGACAUCUUUAGGUUGAGGACGACUUUUUGUAUUUCGACCACGAAAGUUACUAAUUCAGAAACUAUUCCGUAAGUAUAUUGCAUUAAGCAAGACAAUGCUUCCUAUUUGUAUAAACUUAGUUAAGCUUUGAAUACGCAAACUUAGAAAACUAAGCUAAUUGUUUUGAGUAAAAAGUGUCACUUCAAUGAGUUCAAUGCCAAGAGCAUUUUUACCGUUUGAAAUCUUAGAAUACGUAUCCCGUAAGGGUGGAUAUUUUCAAAUUCUACCCGGAACAAUUGACCUGGAGAGAGAGUGAUGAGUCAGUUGCAUUUUUCAGUUCGAAGCUAUCAAGAUGCACCAGCAGACGGCGCUUUCUAAAAUUAUUUUGAAAAAGACUGAGGUUUUUGGUUUGAAUAAGAUGUUUACUUCUACGCUGGCUGAUUUAUAUGUCUAGUAAAUCUAGUAGAAGGGAAAAAGCUUUAUUUUGAUGCUGUAAGAUUAUUUAUCUGUACGUAACUGAACACAUCCAUAAUUUUUUUUAAAUUGCAUUCCGGUUAAAAUAAGUAUUUUAGGCAGAUAUCGAUAACAAUAUUAAAAAGAAAAAAAAUCGAAGUAUUUACACAAAGCAUUUACAUUUCACUACAUUGGCCUUUAGGUUUUUGAUAGCAAAAAGAUUUGAAAACCCUUUCUAAAGCAAAGACCUAAUUUAAAAAAAAACCACUGUUAUCAAAUACUAAUAAUUUUUGUUGUCGUGUUCUGAGCCAAGUUUUUUCUGCGGAAAGGCCUACUUAAAACGAUUGGACAUGUAGGCAAAACCUAUUUAUAAUUCGCCUCACGUUUUAUGUUUGAUAGGACCGCUAACUCCUAGCGGUUGAUAUUAUUUUUAUGAUUAUAUUGUGCAUAUUCAAAAGUUUCCUUCCAAUAGAGAACACAAUGGCCACUCCAAGUUCUCCUAAACUUCCAAAAAACAUCACUUCUGGUAUUGAAGAAUUCGAAAAGAAUAAACUUAAACAUACCGAACCGAAUGUAAAGAAUACUUUACCUGAUGAGAGCGGAUUGAAAUUCUCGCAAAAGGAAGAAAAAGAGGCCGUUAUUCGAAAUGAAAUUCUAGGCUUUUCUAGAGACAACUUGAAACAUGCCGAUGUCAAGGAAAAGAAUCUUCUCCCAAAUCAAGAGGCUAUUCAAAUGGAAGCAAAGGGAGAGAAGGAGGCUCCUUUACGAGAUGAAUUAAGCCACUUUGCUAAGGAAAAGCUUAAGCAUACAGAAACCCACGAAAAGAAUGUUAUGCUAGACGCUGAUCUAUUCAAGAUGGCGCAAAAGGAGGAAAAAGAGGCUCCUUUACGUAAUGAGUUGAGUAACUUCUCGAAAGAUAAACUCAAGCACACGGAAACCGUUGAAAAGAACAAGUUGCCCGAUAAGCAAGAAAUCGAAGCUGAGAGAAAGGCUGGACAAUAACUAACCAGAGAAUUUACAUCAGUCCACUCCAAUAUAAAACCUAUAUGAUUUCCGUAGCGAACAGAGCUUUCUAUUAACUUUUUAUAUAAAAAGUACAAAUGUCGUUCAACUACCUUAUAUAAAUUCAUAUUUUUUUCUAUUCGCAUAUUUUGUAAGCAUGCGAUUGAUUUUCUAUCUGUUUCUGGUGCUUGGUAGAUAAUGCUUGACCAUAUUUCUACUCUAAAUACAUUGAGGACAUUGUACAGCUUUGUUUUUAUUAAGCUAAUUCUUCCGCGCCCAAGGAUGACUCAUCG